AUUGAACGCUGGCGGCAGGCUUAACACAUGCAAGUCGAGCGAGCGGCGGACGGGUGAGUAAUGUCUGGGAAACUGCCUGAUGGAGGGGGAUAACUACUGGAAACGGUAGCUAAUACCGCAUACCCUCAGUUGUGCUCAGAUUGGAUUAGCUAGUAGGUUGGGUAAUGGCUCACCUAGGCGAAGAUCCCUAGCUGGUCUGAGAGGAUGACCAGCAAGACUGGAACUGAGACACGGUCCAGACUCCUACGGGAGGCAGCAGUGGGGAAUAUUGCACAAGGGGCGCAAGCCUGAUGGAGCCAGGCCGCGUGUGUGAAGAAGGCCUUCGGGUUGUAAAGCACUUUCAGCGAGGAGGCGUUACUCGCAGAAGAAGCACCGGCUAACUCCGUGCCAGCCGCCGCGGUAAUUC
RNAcentral lists this ribosomal RNA (406 nucleotides) under uncultured bacterium. Its description in RNAcentral is "partial 16S ribosomal RNA". It matches the Rfam family "Bacterial small subunit ribosomal RNA", at positions 30 to 526 of the family's 1533-position model. The record is from RNAcentral.